UACGUAGGGACCGAGCGUUGUCCGGAUUCAUUGGGCGUAAAGAGCUCGUAGGCGGUCUGUCGCGUCGAUCGUGAAAACUUGGGGCUUAACCCUGAGCUUGCGGUCGAUACGGGCAUGACUGGAGUUCGGCAGGGGAGACUGGAAUUCCUGGUGUAGCGGUGAAAUGCGCAGAUAUCAGGAGGAACACCGGUGGCGAAGGCGGCCCUCUGGACGGUGACUGACGCUGAGACGCGAAAGCGUGGGGAGCAAACAGG
Molecule: ribosomal RNA, 254 nt
Filed under: uncultured bacterium
Lineage: Bacteria
Description: partial 16S ribosomal RNA
Rfam family: Bacterial small subunit ribosomal RNA
Source: RNAcentral